Long non-coding RNA from Oreochromis niloticus (Nile tilapia), 3732 nucleotides. The record is from Ensembl. NCBI's taxonomy places the organism in Eukaryota, Metazoa, Chordata, Actinopteri, Cichliformes, Cichlidae.
UGUAAAGCAGGAAGUACCCAUGCAUCGGUCUUUUUUUUUGGCAGAUGAGCUUUUCUCACUUGUAGCUCAGUGCUUACAUACUACCUUAGUCUGUGCUGCUCUGUGCAUCCAUUUAACUGUAAGUAAACUAUUUACAUUCUUCUUUACCUUGAUUAAACAGUGGUUUACUUGAUUCUUCUUAUAUUCAUGUUCAUCAUCACUCAUCAUGCUAAAGGCCUGCUAAUUAGCCUGAGGCUAAUUAGAAAAGUGAAGAUCUGUAAUGUUUGCUUCCAUCACAUAAUCAUGUCAUGUACAUUUAUUUAUUGAUUAUUGUUGUUUAUUAUUUAGUUGUGUAGCUGAGAUUCUCAUAUUGAAUUCAGCCUUCUUUGGUAGACAAAAGGCUUCUUUGUUUGUUGGUCAGCAUUGCCUCACUGUUUCAUAUCGUGCUCAUGAUUUGCAUCCUUUUAGUAAGCUGCUUUUUCAUAGGUUGUUUACGUUUUAUUCUUUCUACAUAAUUUUGUUUCCUUCCUUUCAGAAAGCAAACUCUGCAAACUUACAAACAUAAAAAGAUGUCUCUCUUGGACACCCUGUAAAGACUCUUAAGCAAUAAAGCUCUCCCCACAGGAACAACUGUUUGUGACUUAACGUGUCACUUCAGAUGUUGCAUGUUCUUUCUCAAACGUAUAUGUGAAGAAAGUGUGUGUGCCUGACACACUUUUGAAAGUGUGUUUUGUCUAGAUUCAGUAUUGCGUAUAAAAGUGAGGGGGAAAUUGUUUAUUUGCAUUUGAUGGAUAUUUCUUGAGAUCAGGUCACUACAAAACGCAGACAACUCAUCUGAGUCUUUUUGUUGGCAAGCAGAAGUGAAAGUUGAUUUCCUAACUUUGAAAAUAACUAAAUAUAUCAUCUCCCAUUGACUGUUUCCUGUCAGUUAGGACUCAGGUUUGCAGCAGAUUUACACCCAGAUUUGUACAUAAUUUUCUAGAAGCUUUGAAAGAUUAAAACCACACCGUGGGUGAAUGAAGAGCAUGGAACUGUUUUUUAUCAUUGUGCUAUUAGUAGGAGGAACUCAAGGUAAGAUUGUCCUCAUAAAGAAGCCAAACAUUCACAUUUGUAGUGUGAAUAAUUCACCUCAUGUUCUAUUAAAUGCAUCUUCUCCAGCUCUCUUUCCAGUUGAUGCAACCACAUGUGACCUCAGGACAAACACAUGUCCAUGCUCUCCUCUUCUUGAAGGAACUGUGUAUGUCCAAGUGAUGACUGAUGCUAGUGGCCGUGAAAUGAAGUGUUUGAAGAUGCUUCCCAAGGGGAACAUAACUGUGUUCAGUCUGAAGAAAGAAAAAAUAACGACAGACAAGGAAUUUUACAACAGGCUAACGUUUAUAAUCAAGAACGGGACACUCAAGAUCACAAACCUGAAGAAGAGUGAUUCAGGUCAAUACAGCAUUGAGGUCUAUAAUUCAAAUGGAUUCCAAGAGAAAAACAUUUAUUUCACCCUGGAUGUUAAAGACAACAGCAAAGUUGAAAGCAAGUUAUCACACAGUUUUCCUUACCUGAGGAUAGUCUUUGCUGCACUGGGAUCUCCCCUGAUAGCAGUGGCAUGCUGCCUUGUUUAUAGGGAACUGAAGCAUCUGAAGAAGACUUCUAACAAGGCAGCCCAUGAUCAAAAGAGGUUGAUAAACAAUUACAUAAUUCCAGUGAAUACCAUAAUUUGAUGGGUAAUUGUAAAAAUCUUUGUUUUGCUAUAAUUGUUUUUUUUUCUUUCACAGCCUCAGGUGUGAAACAGAGAAUAUAAACCUUAAGUGUGAGUCUGAGCUUUAGUGAGCUGACUUCUGUCAUAACCAGGACUGGACACUGAUCAAUGAAAUAAAAAAAAAAAAAGGAAAUUCAAAAACAACAAUCAGGAGUAUGUCUGUGUAGGUUCUCAGUCAUCCAGAUCAUGGUAGUCUAAGGAGCGUGAAGUUUGAAAGUUUCACUUCCUUCAUAUAGUAGUUGUGUAAAAUGAACAUAUCUCCUCGUAUGGUGAGAUCUCAGGGUGAAACUGAGGCUCUCAGUGUUGCUAAAAUAUUCUCAAACUUCUACAUUGUUUCACACGUCUAUUUUCUCAUGCAACUGAAGAACAUUGUCAUUGUUUUAAUGAAAUUGACUGUAAGUGAAAUAUGAUAUCAAGUGAAGGCUUUCUCCAGUUUAUUUGUAAGUGGCGCUAGUGAAUAACUAAUAACAAUCAAUAAUUAAUCAUUUUAUUAAGAAGAAGUGGUAAUUUAACUUUAUUGUUAUAUGUUAGUUGUUUUUUAAGGUAAAAUGUAGUUCAGAUCCAAUUCCUACUUAGUCACAGCUUACUGUGUAAAACAAAAGGACCUUCAGAAAUACUUUCUUACUUAGGAUGAGUAUGACUGAAUCUGUGGAAAUACUAUACGCCAAAAACAGAAAUAUGUAUUUCUGCACUUAAAAAUAGAUCAAACAGAAUUAUACUUAUCAUUUUGCACCAGAAAUACAAUUAAUUCAACAAGGUAAGAAGAAGGGAGCAUUUAUUGUUGCGUAAACAUUAAAAUUAAAUUAAUGAUCUGGACCUGUACAUAUGGGUAGGUGUGAGGUUUCCCUCUACUGGUUUAUGGAGGUGUUGCAUUUAAAUUUGGAUGAACUCUUGACCGGAGAUGAGUCUUCUAGCAACUGUAGUUUUAAUUAUGUCACAGCAUGGAAUUUGUCCUUUUAAGGCCGUGUGUAUAAUAUUUGGUACAUGGAUUUUGAGACCACGAUAUUAUGAGGAUGACUUUUCCCCCCAAAUAACCUGAUGUAUUAAAUCAGACACAUACUGUAAGCAAUAAAUAGAAAAAAAAUAUGGCAUGCCGUAAAUAUCAUUAAUUUAAAAGUCAUAAAUGCAAAUAGAUUAAAAAAAUAUGAAUUUAAAAAAUAUUUUCAUAGUUCUGACUUUAGAGGGUAAUGACCUAUUAUCUAAUCCUGAUACUGCUCAGUCAGUUGUGCUCGUAGAUGAUCUGCUCCAUUUGAUACUGUGGACCAUUAAAUAUUUAUUUUCCCAUUUAAGAUGAGAUAUGAACAGUUGAAUUACAGUAAGGGGAGUGCUGUAUUAGUAGACACUAAGUGAUGGGCAAGAUAGUGUUAACUUGUUACAGAUCUAAAAAUAGUUUAGUCAAAGUGUGAGCAAUAAGUAAAAAGUCUGCUCGAGUUCCUUUUAUUUCUACCAAGUAAUGAACGUGCUGAUGUUCCUUUUCAGCUUUCCACAUAUACGGAAAGAACUGUCUUAGAGGUUUAUCAGAAGCCAAUUGUGACUGUUAACUCCUAGAUGUACAUGCCAUUUAAUAAAGUAUGCUGACUUUGUCAGCGCACACUGAACAAGGAGGAGACAUGGAAGUUGUGCUUGGAUUGAUGGUGAUUCUACUGGGAGUGUCUCAUGGUAAACUGUUUUUUUUUUAAAUCUCAUUUUAAUCAUAAUAAUAUGCUAUAUAUCAGCAAUGUGUUUUCAAGCAAUACUUAAGCAAAAAUGCAUAAAUUCUCACAUUGUUCUCUGGGAUGUUAAAGAAGCUCAAAUACUUGUUCUUUAUUUAUUUCAUUUCUUUUAAUAAAUUCAUGUAAGAAUCUACUGGCUACAUCUGCAGUUUGUGUCACUUCACAUUUUUUCUUUUUACAUUUUUUAUUAUUAGUGGUAAAGUACUGAGACUGAGUUGUGUUCUUGUUCUCUAUUCUUUUUAUAUAAAAACCCUCCAUACAAACUACCUUGAGGUUAAAAAAAUAGCAUUUUUG